CCUACGGGUGGCAGCAGUGGGGAAUAUUGCGCAAUGGGCGAAAGCCUGACGCAGCGACGCCGCGUGAGGGAUGAAGGUCUUCGGAUCUUAAACCCCUGUCAGCAGGGAAGCACGGUCACUGUGUUAUUAAGCAGUGCAUUGACCGUACCCGCAAAGGAAGCACCGGCUAACUCCGUGCCCGCAGCCGCGGUAAUACGGAGGGUGGGAGCGGUAAUCGGAAUUACUGGGCGUAAAGCGCAUGUGGGCGGUAUUGCAAGUCAAGGGUGAAAUGCCCGGGGUCAACGUGGGAACUGCCUUUGAAACUGGCAAGCUGGAGUGUGUGAGAGGGAAGUGGAAUUCCAGGUGUAGGAGUGAAAUGCGUAGAUAUCUGGAGGAACAUCAGUGGCGAAGGCGACUAUCUGGCACAUAACUGACGCUGAGGAGCGAAAGCGUGGGUAGCAAACAGGAUUAGAUACCCCAGUAGUC
This 465-nucleotide ribosomal RNA is filed under the name uncultured bacterium. Its description in RNAcentral is "partial 16S ribosomal RNA". It matches the Rfam family "Bacterial small subunit ribosomal RNA", at positions 338 to 795 of the family's 1533-position model. The record is from RNAcentral.